CAGCACCCUGGGAUUUUGACCUGAGCUUAAAGUGGCCACCCAACUGACUGAGCUCCCCAGGCACCACGACAACCUCAUCUUUAACUUUACCUGCUACUAUGUACUCUGGAAGGCCUCAGACAUCAGCAAUGGCCACAAGACAACACUAGCAGCUCACCAGUAAGAAAGAUCACCUGACCAGAUAUGGACCUCAGCCAUGGCGUUUCUUGUCAACUGCCAGCUCACCUGCCCCCGACACCGGACAUAGGUGUCUCCAUGUCUGCCAGUGACCUGUUGAGAGGCCCGCAGAUUUUCUGUGUGCACUUCCUGUGUGCUUCUACCUCUCUGCUCAGGCAGCAGGUGAGAGAAGUCACUUCCUUUCCUUCAUCGUCAAAACAUUAAAUUGGAGGUUUUUAGAUCCCAUCCCUAUAGCAACCAUAUUUAUAUGUCCCUACAACCAAAGAUGUAGACAUCAGGAUCUGUAUUUUUUAUGUCCUAUAGCCUAAAGUCAACGUGCAAGUUGUCUUAGAGAAAGUGAGUUGUUAUUUCCAGUGUUAAUGCAGUGUGACAGUAAAUGCAUUCUGCUGUCCAGUUUCCAACGGAGUUACACAAUCAUACCUGGUGUGCCUCUUUGAAAACCCUUUUGUCCUUAA
Molecule: long non-coding RNA, 632 nt
Organism: Mustela erminea (ermine)
Lineage: Eukaryota; Metazoa; Chordata; Mammalia; Carnivora; Mustelidae
Exons: 3
Source: RefSeq, a predicted model, not a curated record